Molecule: ribosomal RNA, 261 nt
Filed under: uncultured bacterium
Lineage: Bacteria
Description: partial 16S ribosomal RNA
Rfam family: Bacterial small subunit ribosomal RNA
Source: RNAcentral
CGAACGGGUGAGUAACACGUAGGUAACCUGCCCAUGUGCCCGGGAUAACUUCUGGAAACGGAUGCUAAAACCGGAUAGGUAGCAGACAAGCAUUUGACUGCUAUUAAAGUGGCCAAGGCCAUGAACAUGGAUGGACCUGCGGUGCAUUAGCUAGUUGGUGAGGUAACGGCCCACCAAGGCGACGAUGCAUAGGGGGACUGAGAGGUUAACCCCCCACACUGGUACUGAGACACGGACCAGACUCCUACGGGAGGCAGCAUG